Equus caballus (horse) is the source of this 3825-nucleotide long non-coding RNA. Lineage: Eukaryota; Metazoa; Chordata; Mammalia; Perissodactyla; Equidae. The record is from Ensembl.
AUCAAAUUCCAUUUCAAUUUUAAAUUAAUUCCCAGGAGCUUGGUUUGUGUGUCUCCCAGGGAAGUGUCUGCUGGGUAAAGUGAGGCUCAGCUGUGGCUCAGUCUUGUGCGAGGGAUGUGUUCUGCGAUGGGCCCGGCAGGGGGUGACUUCCCCACACGAGUUAACUGCUGCUGUUGUUACCGUCCCCAUCAGCACCGUCAACAAGCAGACCCGAGUGCUCAGACUGUGCCUUCCUCUGCCAAGUCUUCGCUGCUGUUUCUCAACUAAGAAGAGCCAGAGCUGGGCCCCAGGAGGGGUGCCCGCCGACUCCAGCUGCCGUCCCAGGAACAGCACGGGCAAGUGCCGCCCGCCUGAGGCUGGAGGCUGGGAGGAGCUGCCCAGAGCGUCUGAGUACAAGAGAAGUGACGUUGUUGAGCAUGAGGGCACCUUUUGGCACCUGGCCUGCAGUGGCUGGAAUGUGACCUCUUCCUGAGACCUCAGAAUCGCCAGAACUUAAUCUUCUUCCUCCAGGGAGAGGCCAUGUAACCCUCCAGCACCUUCCAUGUCUCCGCUGCCUGGUUCGAACCCUCACUCGCUUGCCUCUCUCCCUUUUCUCCCCCCUUACCAGCUCCUCUCCCGCUCUGCCCUGUCUCAUCUGCUGGACGCUUCUGGUAUGGACUGUCCCUGGGUCUGACAGCACCAGCUGGCUCUGCAGCCUCCUGUUUCCUUCAGAGUGGCCAUGUCUCCUUUGAGGGCUGCCUUCUGCCCUUGGGUGGAGGGGACGAUCAGGGUGUGAGGGGUGUGACAGCCAGGCCGGGAGUGACUUCAGGAGCCCUCCAAGGAGAGGUAGUGGCUCAGCGUUUGCUUUUCCCCUUGUGGCCAGUAGGUGGUGCUAGAUGCCAGCCGAGGCCCAGCCGAGGCCCAGCCGGGGCCUUGACAGAGCACCAGGCAGCUCUCCUUUACAGGAAAGGGCUCUGCCUGCCAAGUAGCACUUUUGGGUGGGGUGCAAGGCCCUGUGACUUGAGGGCUGAUUCGGGACAUGGGCGGGGCUAGGAGAAUGUGAUUAUUUCCCUUCACUAAACCCUGUGGCCUUACAGGCUGGUUUCCCCUCUAGGAACUGGGAACACCUUGAAGAGAACCUGUGUGGGAUGCAGGAUCCUGCCUCCCUUUUUGCUCAGAGAUCUCCUCCAAGCAGGGGGCGGCUCUCUCUCCUCCGGGCACUCAUAGCAAGCUUUACUUCACGUGGUCGGGGCACUUCACACACGGCAAGAAUGAGUUGUUUUCUCAGCUCCCUUCCUUAGGAGACCAUCAUUUUCUAAUCCCCUCCAUGUCCCCAGUGCAUGCCUAGGGCCUGGCACACAGCCCAUGCUCCUUACGGGAGCACAUGACUGAGGGGAGGAGGCAGUGGUGCACAGAGACUGUGCUGCCUUUCCCCCAUAGAGAUCUUUAAGAACACAGGUCGGCCCUCUGCCUAGGGUUUUUAGGGAUUGCCCAAUCAAUAAAUGAUGGGAAUGAUGGCCUUGAAGUCCCUCUGGAAGACAAUGCCUCGCUCAGAACUUCACACACGUCUGUUGAAUAUGCUUCAUUUGAUGAGCAUUUAUUGCAUAACUGCAACGGGCCAGGAUGUCUCUCUAAGAAGGAGAGAAACCUCUCCACAUUCACAAGGGAGAGGACUGACACAUAGCCUGGACCCUGGGGUGCUGGGCCUCUGGUCUCAGCUCUCCAGUGCGCAGAGCCUGGGGAAAUGCUGGACUUCUGGGGCUGACCAAUCAGCAAGUAGCAAGGGGGACCUUCCUUGAGAGCUCUGCUGGACAGGACCCGGGCUGCUGGGCUCAGCUUGCACAGCCAGUGCACGCGGGAAGGGGGACAUCGUCUCGGCAGGGAAGUAAACCAGCAUUGGAGUGAUUGGGGCGGGCAUGUGCUCCUCAGACACAAUUACUCUUCUCUGGCUGAGACUAAACGCUGCAGAAUGUGCCAUGUUAUUGAAGCCUAUUAAAGUAGCCCAAGCAGACCUGUGGCUGACACGACAUGGGGAAAGGGUAGGUGAUUUGCUGGGUCUCCGAAGCUCCGGACAGACGACAAUGGAAGGAUGCAUCAACGAGGAGGGUAUAACAGGAAUGAAAGCAAAGUUCUGCCCAGAAAGCCACGUGGUGGCGGGAGGCAUGGGCUCAGAGUCAAACACAUGAAGACUUUAGUGCUUCUCAUUGAUACAGUGCUUCUCACUGAGUCAGCCGUGGGGUGCGGGUGCCGUAUGAAUGAACUCAUGCUGGAGAAUGUUCAGAGUGAAGAUCCGAGCUCCUGUCAACCACUCUGGAGAGUUCUGUUCAGUCCUUGGGAACUUGAGACGUGAUUCAUCUAAUACCAGCUCGUUUGGAAACCCUCCCUCUGUUCCUUCUUCCUGUGUCACUUUCCAGUCUCUAUUGACAUCUCCCAACUAAAGGCCAGAACUGCCUUUUUUUUUUUUUAUUUAUUCUUUUUCUGAGGAAGAUUAGCCCUGAGCUAACAUCUGCUGCCAAUCCUCCUCUUUUUGUUGAGGAAGACUGGUCCUGACCUAACAUCUAUGCCCAUCCUCCUCUACUUUAUAUGUGGGACGCCUGCCACAGUGUGACUUGACAAGCAGUGCCAUGUCCGCACCCGGGAUCCGAACCAGCAACCCCUGGGUUGCCAAAGCAGAAUGUGUGAACUUAACCACUGCGCCACCAGGCUGACCCCAGAGCAGUCUUUUAAAAGACGCAAUGUGCUGACACAGACAGCGAGGGAACAGUGGGACAAGGAGGCUGGAAACCAGUUCACAGGAGAAACCGCUGAAGGACCCCAAGCUCUUUGUGACAGAGAGAGCUAGGCCUGGGGAGCCUGAGGCUGUGAUGAGUGAGUCUGCUUGUGCUGAGAUUGCCCAUUGAGCAGACGUGCCCUGGGCCCCCUCCGGAGGAGGUGAGUACCCUGGGUCCCCUCAGGAGGGGUGGGUGAAAGCCCAGGAUGGGGUUGAGUUGAAGCCCCUGCAUUUCCUUCUGGGUCGCAGAGACUGAGAGCAAGUCCCUCUCCAUCCCUUUGUACCCUGGGGCGUCCUUGGGGCCACUUAGCCAUAACCUGAAACAGCUGUAAAGGUCAGUGGCCUCCCAGCUUUGCCUCUCCCACUGGCCCUGUGACUGUGCCCCGCUAUUUGCUGAGCCGGGGACUGCUAAUUGUGCUGAAUUCUCUUGGGUCUCUGGGUGAGGACAAGGGCCAGCGGCAGAGCUCACAUGAUCAUGGGUCCCAGAGGCAGGACAGCUCAGACCCGAAGCUUUGUGCUGUUCCCGCUCCCCUCCUGCCCCCAUCCCAGCAAGAGGCCAGGGUUCAAAUCCAAGCUCUGUGAUCUUGGACAAGUUGGGCGACCUUUUUGGGCCUCAGCAUGGGCGCUUGCUGGGUGGUGGUAUCCUUUACAUGGGGCACCCCAGGAACCACACUCUCCACGUCUCACACUGUGGUAUGAGGCACCUACAGCCAGAGGCUGUGGGUCCUGGCCCAACAACAUCUGCUUGGCUGGAAUUAGGGUGACCGACCUGCCUGGCUUGCCCUGGAUGGAGGGGUUCCUGGGAUGCAGGACUUUCAGUGUUGAAAUCUAGAAAGUUCUGGACAAAGUGGGACAUGUUGGUUACCUUAGCUGCAGUCCCCAUCCGUCUGCUCUUCCCCUGCCACGUGACCAGUCCUGCUGUUGGCCCCCAGCCGAUGAUUCACUGGAAGAUGGUGUGGGGCAGAUGUUGAGGACUGAUGCUCCGUCCCUGUCUUCAGCCCUGUUUGUCAUCCCCACAGAGCGCAGGGGCUGGGGGCCACAUAUCUCACUUGAUAUGGGUUCGUUCUCGCUUCUUG